GCCCCGUUCGUCUAGCGGUCUUGGACACCGCCCUCUCAAGGCGGAGAUCACGGGUUCGAAUCCCGUACGGGGUACCA
RNAcentral lists this transfer RNA (77 nucleotides) under Coriobacteriia bacterium. RNAcentral describes it as "tRNA-Glu". It matches the Rfam family "tRNA". From Rfam's summary of the family: Transfer RNA (tRNA) molecules are approximately 80 nucleotides in length. Their secondary structure includes four short double-helical elements and three loops (D, anti-codon, and T loops). The record is from RNAcentral. Lineage: Bacteria; Bacillati; Actinomycetota; Coriobacteriia.